Molecule: ribosomal RNA, 431 nt
Filed under: Pseudomonas moorei
Lineage: Bacteria; Pseudomonadati; Pseudomonadota; Gammaproteobacteria; Pseudomonadales; Pseudomonadaceae
Description: bacterial SSU rRNA
Rfam family: Bacterial small subunit ribosomal RNA
Source: RNAcentral
UCUCUGAUUCAGCGGCGGACGGGUGAGUAAUGCCUAGGAAUCUGCCUGGUAGUGGGGGACAACGUUUCGAAAGGAACGCUAAUACCGCAUACGUCCUACGGGAGAAAGCAGGGGACCUUCGGGCCUUGCGCUAUCAGAUGAGCCUAGGUCGGAUUAGCUAGUUGGUGAGGUAAUGGCUCACCAAGGCGACGAUCCGUAACUGGUCUGAGAGGAUGAUCAGUCACACUGGAACUGAGACACGGUCCAGACUCCUACGGGAGGCAGCAGUGGGGAAUAUUGGACAAUGGGCGAAAGCCUGAUCCAGCCAUGCCGCGUGUGUGAAGAAGGUCUUCGGAUUGUAAAGCACUUUAAGUUGGGAGGAAGGGCAGUAAGUUAAUACCUUGCUGUUUUGACGUUACCGACAGAAUAAGCACCGGCUAACUUCGUGCCAG